GCUUAACACAUGCAAGUCGAACGAUGAAGCCCAGCUUGCUGGGUGGAUUAGUGGCGAACGGGUGAGUAACACGUGAGUAACCUGCCCUUAACUCUGGGAUAAGCCUGGGAAACUGGGUCUAAUACCGGAUAGGAGCGCCUACCGCAUGGUGGGUGUUGGAAAGAUUUAUCGGUUUUGGAUGGACUCGCGGCCUAUCAGCUUGUUGGUGAGGUAAUGGCUCACCAAGGCGACGACGGGUAGCCGGCCUGAGAGGGUGACCGGCCACACUGGGACUGAGACACGGCCCAGACUCCUACGGGAGGCAGCAGUGGGGAAUAUUGCACAAUGGGCGCAAGCCUGAUGCAGCGACGCCGCGUGAGGGAUGACGGCCUUCGGGUUGUAAACCUCUUUCAGUAGGGAAGAAGCGAAAGUGACGGUACCUGCAGAAGAAGCACCGGCUAACUACGUGCCAGCAGCCGCGGUAAUACGUAGGGUGCGAGCGUUAUCCGGAAUUAUUGGGCGUAAAGAGCUCGUAGGCGGUUUGUCGCGUCUGUCGUGAAAGUCCGGGGCUUAACCCCGGAUCUGCGGUGGGUACGGGCAGACUAGAGUGCAGUAGGGGAGACUGGAAUUCCUGGUGUAGCGGUGGAAUGCGCAGAUAUCAGGAGGAACACCGAUGGCGAAGGCAGGUCUCUGGGCUGUAACUGACGCUGAGGAGCGAAAGCAUGGGGAGCGAACAGGAUUAGAUACCCUGGUAGUCCAUGCCGUAAACGUUGGGCACUAGGUGUGGGGACCAUUCCACGGUUUCCGCGCCGCAGCUAACGCAUUAAGUGCCCCGCCUGGGG
Molecule: ribosomal RNA, 821 nt
Filed under: Micrococcus sp. HQN42
Lineage: Bacteria; Bacillati; Actinomycetota; Actinomycetes; Micrococcales; Micrococcaceae
Description: bacterial SSU rRNA
Rfam family: Bacterial small subunit ribosomal RNA
Source: RNAcentral